CAAGAUCCAGAGGCAUCUUCAGAGAAGGGGCCUGUAACAUGUGAAGGAAACGGGAAGUUGCAGUAAACAUGACAAUACAGUGCAACUGUUUUACUAGUUUGUGGACAGAAAUUAAAUUGUGUUUGAAAUAGGGAACAAAUUAAAGUGAUGGAGGGAGUUAAAGCAUAAGAUCCUAUGGAAGUCACUUUCACUUUAUAUCCAUUAGGAAAGGUUACAAGAUAAGGCACAAGUAAAGGUGUGAUAUUAAAGAGUAAGUUCUUAUUAGAUGUCAUAUGAUCAGAAGCCCCUGAAUCUAUUAUCCAGGAGACAGAAGCAAUAAGAGACAGAAGUAAUAUUAGUAAGUAGACAGAGUUUGGAAUCAGAAACAGGGCUCUCAGUAGUACCAGCAAAGUUGGAAGCACACAUAGGAGGAGAGGUCUGAGCAGGAGAAAUCUGAGCAGUGGAGUCACCCAAUUUGGACUGUUGCAGCAGAUUCAUCAAUUGGUCAUAAUGUUGCCUGCUCAAUCCAGGGAUUACAGAACCAUGUCCAUCCACAUGUGGGACAGAUGAAUUACCCUCAAUGUGAUUUCCAGAAGCAUGAGAAUUGUGUCCAUCAGAAGAAGGGAAAGAGGUGAAAUCAACACCAAUGGUUACAUGGGCAGCAGUAGUUCUCUUCCCUUUGUUAAACCUGGUGCUUUGUGGAAAUCCAUGAAGUUUGUAACACUUAUCAAUUAAAUGCCCAGACUUCUUGCAAUAUCUACAAAACAGAGGUCCUCUGGAUUGGUCAAAAGUAACUCUCUGGGCAUACUGUCUGAGAGGAGAAGAGUUGGGCACUGCAACUUGACUGAAAGAAGGUGUAGAAGUUUUGUUUGUGUUGACACUGAAGGACAUAGAGUCGGGAUUGAACUGGGAAAUAGACUGAACUUGUCUUUAUUUUUCAUCAUUGAGGAGAAUUCUAUAGACACUGUCAAGACUAGGAGGAGGCGAGAAGGUGUAGAAGUUCUGUUUGUGUUCACACUGAAUGACAUAGAGUCAGGAUUGAACUGGGAAAUAGAUUGAACUUGUCUUUGUUUUUCAUCAUUGAGGAGAAUAUUAUAGACACUGUCAAGACUAGGAGGAGGCUGCAUCAUCAUCAAGUUGCUCCUUACCCCCAUAUAUGUCUCAUUAAGGCCCAUGAGGAAUUGAAACACCUUAUUCUCCUCAUCCUCCUUUAUGAUGCCAGGUUUGGCAGCACAAAUACAUCUUUGACCAUGAUUUGUGCAUACUACCCCUAACUCAUCCCAUAACCCUUUGAGUUUGUUAAAAUAGGAUGCUAUAUCUAGAGAUCCUUGAGAAGAAUGAGAGAGUUCUCUUUUAAGUUCAAAAAUUUUGUUCCUAUUGGCUGUGCCAUAUCUGGCUUCGAG
This 1382-nucleotide long non-coding RNA is filed under the name Nicotiana benthamiana. RNAcentral describes it as "long non-coding RNA (NBEN_LNC014457)". The record is from RNAcentral. Lineage: Eukaryota; Viridiplantae; Streptophyta; Magnoliopsida; Solanales; Solanaceae.